RNAcentral lists this ribosomal RNA (207 nucleotides) under uncultured bacterium. RNAcentral describes it as "partial 16S ribosomal RNA". It matches the Rfam family "Bacterial small subunit ribosomal RNA", at positions 524 to 729 of the family's 1533-position model. The record is from RNAcentral.
UACGUAGGGUGCAAGCGUUGUCCGGAAUUAUUGGGCGUAAAGAGCUCGUAGGCGGUUUGUCGCGUCUGCUGUGAAAACGCGAGGCUCAACCUCGCGCCUGCAGUGGGUACGGGCAGACUGGAGUGCGGUAGGGGAGAUUGGAAUUCCUGGUGUAGCAGUGAAAUGCGUAGAUAUCAGGAGGAACACCGAUGGCGAAAGGCAGGUCUC